GAUGAACGCUGACAGAAUGCUUAACACAUGCAAGUCAUUGGCGAAGCUGCGCUUGCGCAGUCUAGCCAAGGCGGACGGGUGAGUAACGCGUAAGGAACUUGCCCUGCAGACAGGGAUAACAGACGGAAACGACUGAUAACACCUGGUAUUGUCAGGCUGGCGCAUGCCGGCCUGAUGAAAGGAGACGCUGCAGGAGAGCCUUGCGUCCUAUUAGCUAGUUGGUGGGGUAACGGCCCACCAAGGCGAUGAUAGGUAGCCGGCCUGAGAGGGUGAACGGCCACAAGGGGACUGAGAUACGGCCCUUACUCCUACGGGAGGCAGCAGUGGGGAAUAUUGGACAAUGGGGGCAACCCUGAUCCAGCAAUUCUGUGUACACGAAGAAGGUUUUCGGAUUGUAAAGUGCUUUCAGCAGGGAAGAAGAAAGUGACGGUACCUGCAGAAGAAGCGACGGCUAAAUACGUG
This 462-nucleotide ribosomal RNA is filed under the name uncultured bacterium. RNAcentral describes it as "partial 16S ribosomal RNA". It matches the Rfam family "Bacterial small subunit ribosomal RNA", at positions 28 to 507 of the family's 1533-position model. The record is from RNAcentral.